This is a long non-coding RNA of Ostrinia nubilalis (European corn borer), 1496 nucleotides long. RefSeq lists it as uncharacterized. The record is from RefSeq and is a predicted model, not a curated record. The transcript has 5 exons. NCBI's taxonomy places the organism in Eukaryota, Metazoa, Arthropoda, Insecta, Lepidoptera, Crambidae.
CACAUCAAAGCAAGUCAAGUCAAAACACGUGUUUAACUGGCAGAAAGAAAGCUAUUUACAAUAUUUACAAACACAACAAAGAUUGUAGAGGAACAGUGAUUAAAUAGGUAUAUACAUUUACAUAUUUACAAUUAACAGAAUUAGAUUUGCCCAACCGUAUUGCUGAUGAAUUUAAACAUAGGAAUAUAACUUGAAACAUUUAGAAGGAGAUCCUGUAUGGAGCACGGGACUGAACCAGGGUUAUAAACUUCAAUCAGCUCGUCCAUAAGCACAAGGCGCUGAAUGCCAAAGCACGAGCAGUCAAAAAAUAUAUGUGCUAAGGAUUGGUCUAAUUGUGAGUUACAGUACUCACAGUGAGGACUGUUGACCAUUUUCAAGCGAAAAAGGAAAUUUGCUAUUAUAAUCUCCCAGAUAACAUGGGAGAAGAGAAGAUCUAUGAAUUUGAAGUGUUUCAAGAAAAUUUACAUAUUGAGUAAUGCCCAGGAGUAAGUAUACAGGAUUACGAAUUGAAGUUGGAGGGGACUGUUUCAAAUUUAAAAACAGAAAUAUAGACAACCAAGUCAUCAGCAAAAUGAAGACUUUUGACUUCUGUACCUAAAAUUAAGUUUAAACGACGAAUAUACAAGAUAAAAAUCAAUGGAGAGAGAAUUCCACCUUGACAAACACCAACAGAAGCAUAUCUUGGACCAUAUAAUCUACCAUCAGACUUAGCAUAUACUUUUCUUUCAGUCAAUAACUUGUGAACCCAAUGAACUAUUUUGUUAUGAAUUCCAAUAGAAAGUAAUUCAGAUCCAAGAACAUCAAUAUUGACACUAUUAAAGGCUCCAGCAACAUCAAAAAAUAUAGACAUUAAAAAGUUACUAUUAUUAAAGCUAUUCUGAAUGUCAAGCUGUAGCUGGCAUAUACUUUCACGUGAAGAUGUUCCCCUUCGGAACCCAAAUUGAUUAGCAGAUCCUUGACAUAGGAGUGCACCGGUUAAAGGAAUUGCAUAAUUCAACCCAGCUAUUAGAUCUUACUGUUUUUAAGGAAGGUGGUAGCUGCCAAGUGGAUCAUUAUGUACAGACCAAUCACAAGAAAGAGCCAAUGAUGGUGAAACCAAGGACAAAUCCAGGGCGUUUGGACGCCAAGUCAAAGAACCAACUGUUGUUACUUCACCGCUAUUUAGUAAGACAAGACCAUUGUCAUCAAUAACCUCCAGAAUAUCUCUACCUCUUGAAUUCACGGUAUUGCACCCCCAUGAUGUAUGAUGAGCAUUGAAAUCACCAGCAAAAAUCAUUGGUGCAGGAACAGAUUUUACUAAAGAUUCAAAUUUAUGUUUAUUAAAAGAUGGAGUACAGUUUGGUGGGCAAUAGAAACUAACAAUACUAAUUUCUUUUUUAUUUUUAGAAAUUCUGACACAAAUGUUUUGUAAUGAACUAUCAGAGUAUGUAUUUAUAUUUCUGUAAUGUAUACUGUUAUGUAUUAAAAUAACUACACCAUUGUGUUUGUUACCAAUA